RNAcentral lists this ribosomal RNA (323 nucleotides) under uncultured bacterium. RNAcentral describes it as "bacterial SSU rRNA". It matches the Rfam family "Bacterial small subunit ribosomal RNA", at positions 28 to 334 of the family's 1533-position model. The record is from RNAcentral.
GAUGAACGCUGGCGGCGUGCUUAACACAUGCAAGUCGAACGAGAAUCAACGGAUUGAGGAUUCGUCCAAAUGAAGUUGAGGAAAGUGGCGGACGGGUGAGUAACGCGUGAGGAACCUGCCUCGGAGUGGGGAAUAACAGUUGGAAACAGCUGCUAAUACCGCAUAAUGCAACGAAAUCGCAUGACUUUGUUGCCAAAGAUUUAUCGCUCUGAGAUGGCCUCGCGUCUGAUUAGCUAGUUGGUGAGAUAACAGCCCACCAAGGCGACGAUCAGUAGCCGACCUGAGAGGGUGAUCGGCCACAUUGGGACUGAGACACGGCCCAA